Molecule: ribosomal RNA, 1541 nt
Filed under: Escherichia coli
Lineage: Bacteria; Pseudomonadati; Pseudomonadota; Gammaproteobacteria; Enterobacterales; Enterobacteriaceae
Description: bacterial SSU rRNA
Rfam family: Bacterial small subunit ribosomal RNA
Source: RNAcentral
AAAUUGAAGAGUUUGAUCAUGGCUCAGAUUGAACGCUGGCGGCAGGCCUAACACAUGCAAGUCGAACGGUAACAGGAAGCAGCUUGCUGCUUUGCUGACGAGUGGCGGACGGGUGAGUAAUGUCUGGGAAACUGCCUGAUGGAGGGGGAUAACUACUGGAAACGGUAGCUAAUACCGCAUAACGUCGCAAGACCAAAGAGGGGGACCUUAGGGCCUCUUGCCAUCGGAUGUGCCCAGAUGGGAUUAGCUGGUAGGUGGGGUAACGGCUCACCUAGGCGACGAUCCCUAGCUGGUCUGAGAGGAUGACCAGCCACACUGGAACUGAGACACGGUCCAGACUCCUACGGGAGGCAGCAGUGGGGAAUAUUGCACAAUGGGCGCAAGCCUGAUGCAGCCAUGCCGCGUGUAUGAAGAAGGCCUUCGGGUUGUAAAGUACUUUCAGCGGGGAGGAAGGGAGUAAAGUUAAUACCUUUGCUCAUUGACGUUACCCGCAGAAGAAGCACCGGCUAACUCCGUGCCAGCAGCCGCGGUAAUACGGAGGGUGCAAGCGUUAAUCGGAAUUACUGGGCGUAAAGCGCACGCAGGCGGUUUGUUAAGUCAGAUGUGAAAUCCCCGGGCUCAACCUGGGAACUGCAUCUGAUACUGGCAAGCUUGAGUCUCGUAGAGGGGGGUAGAAUUCCAGGUGUAGCGGUGAAAUGCGUAGAGAUCUGGAGGAAUACCGGUGGCGAAGGCGGCCCCCUGGACGAAGACUGACGCUCAGGUGCGAAAGCGUGGGGAGCAAACAGGAUUAGAUACCCUGGUAGUCCACGCCGUAAACGAUGUCGACUUGGAGGUUGUGCCCUUGAGGCGUGGCUUCCGGAGCUAACGCGUUAAGUCGACCGCCUGGGGAGUACGGCCGCAAGGUUAAAACUCAAAUGAAUUGACGGGGGCCCGCACAAGCGGUGGAGCAUGUGGUUUAAUUCGAUGCAACGCGAAGAACCUUACCUGGUCUUGACAUCCACGGAAGUUUUCAGAGAUGAGAAUGUGCCUUCGGGAACCGUGAGACAGGUGCUGCAUGGCUGUCGUCAGCUCGUGUUGUGAAAUGUUGGGUUAAGUCCCGCAACGAGCGCAACCCUUAUCCUUUGUUGCCAGCGGUCCGGCCGGGAACUCAAAGGAGACUGCCAGUGAUAAACUGGAGGAAGGUGGGGAUGACGUCAAGUCAUCAUGGCCCUUACGACCAGGGCUACACACGUGCUACAAUGGCGCAUACAAAGAGAAGCGACCUCGCGAGAGCAAGCGGACCUCAUAAAGUGCGUCGUAGUCCGGAUUGGAGUCUGCAACUCGACUCCAUGAAGUCGGAAUCGCUAGUAAUCGUGGAUCAGAAUGCCACGGUGAAUACGUUCCCGGGCCUUGUACACACCGCCCGUCACACCAUGGGAGUGGGUUGCAAAAGAAGUAGGUAGCUUAACCUUCGGGAGGGCGCUUACCACUUUGUGAUUCAUGACUGGGGUGAAGUCGUAACAAGGUAACCGUAGGGGAACCUGCGGUUGGAUCACCUCCUU